Molecule: ribosomal RNA, 116 nt
Filed under: Shewanella frigidimarina
Lineage: Bacteria; Pseudomonadati; Pseudomonadota; Gammaproteobacteria; Alteromonadales; Shewanellaceae
Also listed under: 7 other names
Source: RNAcentral
UCUGGAAACCAUAGAGCUGUGGCACCACCUGAUCCCAUUCCGAACUCAGAAGUGAAACACAGUAUCGCCGAUGGUAGUUUGGGGUCUCCCCAUGCGAGAGUAGGUCAUUUCCAGGC